UCCGUAGGUGGCAAGCGUUGUCCGGAAUUAUUGGGCGUAAAGCGCGCGCAGGCGGUCCUUUAAGUCUGCUGUGAAAGCCCACGGCUCAACCGUGGAGGGUCAUUGGAAACUGGGGGACUUGAGUGCAGAAGAGGAAAGCGGAAUUCCACGUGUAGCGGUGAAAUGCGUAGAGAUGUGGAGGAACACCAGUGGCGAAGGCGGCUUUCUGGUCUGUAACUGACGCUGAGGAGCGAAAGCGUGGGGAGCGAACAGG
RNAcentral lists this ribosomal RNA (253 nucleotides) under uncultured bacterium. Its description in RNAcentral is "partial 16S ribosomal RNA". It matches the Rfam family "Bacterial small subunit ribosomal RNA", at positions 524 to 776 of the family's 1533-position model. The record is from RNAcentral.